RNAcentral lists this ribosomal RNA (36 nucleotides) under Verticillium dahliae. Its description in RNAcentral is "partial 28S ribosomal RNA". Lineage: Eukaryota; Fungi; Ascomycota; Sordariomycetes; Glomerellales; Plectosphaerellaceae. The record is from RNAcentral.
UGAUCUGCUGAGGGUAGCCCUACUUCGCCUCGAUUU